RNAcentral lists this ribosomal RNA (253 nucleotides) under uncultured bacterium. RNAcentral's name for it is "partial 16S ribosomal RNA". It matches the Rfam family "Bacterial small subunit ribosomal RNA", at positions 524 to 776 of the family's 1533-position model. The record is from RNAcentral.
UACGAAGGGGGCUAGCGUUGUUCGGAAUUACUGGGCGUAAAGGGCGCGUAGGCGGUACUUCAAGUCAGGCGUGAAAGCCCCGGGCUCAACCUGGGAACCGCGCUUGAGACUGGAGAACUAGAGUUCGGGAGAGGAUGGUGGAAUUCCCAGUGUAGAGGUGAAAUGCGUAGAUAUCGGGAGGAACAUCAGUGGCGAAGGCGGCCUUCUGGUCCAGUACUGACACUCAAGUGCGAAAGCGUGGGGAGCAAACAGG